GGGGGCCGACGUGGUAGCCUGA
Molecule: non-coding RNA, 22 nt
Filed under: Arabidopsis thaliana (thale cress)
Lineage: Eukaryota; Viridiplantae; Streptophyta; Magnoliopsida; Brassicales; Brassicaceae
Source: RNAcentral